AUGAGACAACUCAGAAUGAUGGGACUAGACUUUAUUUUAGCAGUUGGAUUAUCUCCAGCACUGGACACAGAAAGAGGAAGAAGCAUAGAUUUAUCCUACUUCUUAAAAUCCAGACUUCCUUAUUUUGAAGUAUCACAGACUUCUUCAGAAACUGUGCCUGUGAGCUACAAAGUGAUGGUUACAGGACAUAGCUUGAAUAUGAUCUGUCCGGAUCAAUUACAUGCUGGUAAUUGGAAACAGUUAUCUAGAGACAAUAGGACAGCCACACUCUCCCCAUUCCCUUCACUACCCCAUACAACACACAUUUGUUGUGCAUUGUUUCUCAUUCCUUUGGCAGAAGAAAAAACAACAACUUUGGAGUGGUUCUUCUAGCUUCUGUUGAUCAGCUGCCAUAUGGAAUGUAGAAGUGGGUCUAUCAAGCUACAAAUUCAUGGUAUUAUUUUCCUUCUAGCUGGAAGCAGGAAAAAUCUGUAGAUAUUGUUUGGGCUCCCCAAUGAAAGUUUGUGAAGCUGACCAUGUGGAUAAGAGUUUGUCUGCAACUAUAUUGCCACAGUAUAAUGCAAUUAUAUUGCAUUUCCAACUUCCAAAUCCUGUUAUACCAUCCUUUUUCUUCUUAAGAGUGUCACAGAGGAAAAGAAGCUAUAAAUAGUCUAGUAAGAAGGCAGUGCACUUUAUCUUUUCAAUGAUAUGGCAUGGACAAUUUUACAACUCUUUAAAGGAGUGUAAAAUGGGGAAGACAUUUUAAAUACGGAUAUUCAGUAAUUAAAUUUUAUAAUAAAAUAUUAAUAAAAUUAUAUUUAAAAGGGGGG
This 809-nucleotide long non-coding RNA is filed under the name Anas platyrhynchos platyrhynchos (common mallard). Its description in RNAcentral is "lncRNA (ENSAPLG00000029419.1)". The record is from RNAcentral. Lineage: Eukaryota; Metazoa; Chordata; Aves; Anseriformes; Anatidae.